UACGUAUGGAGCAAGCGUUAUCCGGAUUUACUGGGUGUAAAGGGAGUGUAGGUGGCCAUGCAAGUCAGAAGUGAAAAUCCGGGGCUCAACCCCGGAACUGCUUUUGAAACUGUAAGGCUGGAGUGCAGGAGGGGUGAGUGGAAUUCCUAGCGUAGCGGUGAAAUGCGUAGAUAUUAGGAGGAACACCAGUGGCGAAGGCGGCUCACUGGACUGUAACUGACACUGAGGCUCGAAAGCGUGGGGAGCAAACAGG
RNAcentral lists this ribosomal RNA (253 nucleotides) under uncultured bacterium. RNAcentral's name for it is "partial 16S ribosomal RNA". It matches the Rfam family "Bacterial small subunit ribosomal RNA", at positions 524 to 776 of the family's 1533-position model. The record is from RNAcentral.